This 454-nucleotide ribosomal RNA is filed under the name uncultured bacterium. RNAcentral's name for it is "bacterial SSU rRNA". It matches the Rfam family "Bacterial small subunit ribosomal RNA", at positions 28 to 524 of the family's 1533-position model. The record is from RNAcentral.
GGUGAAUGCUGGCGGCGUGGAUAAGUCAUGCAAGUCAAGGGGGCCCGCAAGGGCAACCGGCAAACGAGGUAGUAACACGUAGGUAGACCCCCAGAGUCGGGCAUAGCCAGCCGAAAGGUUGGGUAAUUCCCCGAUAGUCCCGAAAGGGUAAAGGUUUUUCGCUCUGGGAGUUGCCUGCGUAGUAUCAGCUAGUUGGUAGGGUAAUGGCCUACCAAGGCUACGACGCUUAGGGGAGCUGAGAGGCUGACCCCCACCGAUGGAACUGCGACACGGUCCAUACUCCUACGGGAGGCUGCAGACGAGAAUAUUCCGCAAUGGGCGAAAGCCUGACGGAGCGACGCCGCGUGAUUGAUGAAGUGCUUCGGUACGUAAAGAUCUUUUAUCGGGGACGAAGUUUAUUGACGGUACCCGAUGAAUAAGGGGCUCCUAACUCUGUGCCAGCAGCCGCGGUAAU